Molecule: ribosomal RNA, 763 nt
Filed under: uncultured bacterium
Lineage: Bacteria
Description: bacterial SSU rRNA
Rfam family: Bacterial small subunit ribosomal RNA
Source: RNAcentral
AUGCAGUCGAACGGUGAUAGCAAUAUCAUAGUGGCGCACGGGUGCGUAACACGUAUGCAACCUACCUUAUACUGAGGGAUAGCCUUUCGAAAGGGAGAUUAAUACCUCAUAACACAUUGAACUGGCAUCAGUUUAUUGUUAAAGAUUUAUUGGUAUAAGAUGGGCAUGCGUCCAAUUAGUUAGUUGGCGAGGUAACGGCUCACCAAGACGAUGAUUGGUAGGGGAACUGAGAGGUUAAUCCCCCACACUGGCACUGAGAUACGGGCCAGACUCCUACGGGAGGCAGCAGUAGGGAAUAUUGGGCAAUGGAGGCAACUCUGACCCAGCCAUGCCGCGUGCAGGAAGAAGGCGUUAUGCGUUGUAAACUGCUUUUAUAUAGGAAGAAAUAGACCUUGCGAGGUAAGUUGACGGUACUAUAUGAAUAAGCACCGGCUAACUCCGUGCCAGCAGCCGCGGUAAUACGGAGGGUGCAAGCGUUGUCCGGAUUUAUUGGGUUUAAAGGGUGCGUAGGCGGUUUAUUAAGUCAGUGGUGAAAGACGGUCGCUCAACGAUUGCAGUGCCAUUGAUACUGGUAGACUUGAGUGGGAUUGAGGUAGCUGGAAUGGAUAGUGUAGCGGUGAAAUGCAUAGAUAUUAUCCAGAACACCAAUUGCGUAGGCAAGUUACUAAGUCUCAACUGACGCUGAGGCACGAAAGUGUGGGUAUCAAACAGGAUUAGAUACCCUGGUAGUCCACACUGUAAACGAUGAUAACUAACUGUUGGC